Molecule: long non-coding RNA, 3951 nt
Filed under: Homo sapiens (human)
Lineage: Eukaryota; Metazoa; Chordata; Mammalia; Primates; Hominidae
Description: non-protein coding lnc-SETD7-3:16
Source: RNAcentral
CCCGCCCCGCCCUUGCCCGCACAGGUGUGGCACCCGCCCGCCCCGCCGCACGGAGCCGCCUGCCCGCGGCCACACGCCAGGCGUCACUCGGGCUGGCGCCGGUCUACCUAGGCAGGCGUGGGACCUGUCGGGGGCUUCACGGCAGCGCGGAAGGCCAGCCUGCAGAGAGGCUGGGCCCAGCGCCCUGACUGACCCAGCCCCGCCACGUCCAAGGUUCCCGCCCUCUGGAGGAAGCCGCGCAAUCACUCCGGGGGCGGGGAGAGACAGACAACUGAGAGGAAGGAGGUACCACGGGCACUCUCUCGCGAGAGGGCCGCAGAGCCGCCUUUGACGGGGGCGUGUACCUGGAGAGCAACGCUCUUGACAAAAUUCUCAGGGAAAACUCUUCAGCUCUGGAUGUCUCCCUUUUUGUGGAUCAAACACAAAGGGCAUCAUUCUAAAAUAUAUACAGAACCAUAAAAGCCCCAAAUAGCCAAAGCAACCCUGAGCAAAAAGAACAAGGCUGGAAGCAUCACACUACCAGACUUCAAAAUUUACUACAAAGCUCUAAUACCUAAAAUAACAUGGUACUGGCAUUAAAAAAAAAAAAAAAAUAGGCACAUAGACCACCAAUGAAACAGUAUAGAGAAUCUAGAUAUACCAACUCAUCUUUAACAAAGGUGCCAAGAACAUACAAUGAGGAAACGAUGGUCUUUUCAAUAAAUGGUGUGGGGGAAAGCUAGAUAACUAUAUGCAGAAGAAUGAAACAAGAUUCCUCUCUCUCGCUAUACACAAAAAUCAAAUCAAAAUGGAUUAAAGGCUUAAAUCUAAGACCUGAAACUACAAAACUAGAAGAACACACUGGAGAAGUGCUCCAGGACCUUGGUCUGGGAAAAGAUUUUUUUGUUUAAGACCUCAAAAGCACAGACAACAAAGCAAAAACAGACAAAUGAGAUUACAUUAAGCUAAAAAGUUUCUGCACAGCAAAGGAAACACUCAACAGAGUGGGGGAGACAACCCACAGAAUGAGAGAAAACAUUUUCAAACUAUCCAUCCGACAAGGGAUUAAUGACCAGAAUAAAGAGACCAAACAAUUUAAGCCAAAAACAAAACAAACAAACACACAAAAAAAACAAAAGCCAAAUAAUCUAAAAAGUGGGCAGGUUGGGUGGGGUGGCUCAAGCCUAUAAUCCCAGCACUUUGGGAGGCCAAGGCAGGCAGGUCAAGAGAUCGAGACCAUCCUGGCCAACAUGGUGAAACCCCAUCUCUACUGAAAAUACAAAAAAAAUUAGCCGGGUGUGGUGGCAUGUGCCUGUAGUCCCAGCUACUUGGGAAGCUGAGGCAGUGAGAAUCGCUUGAACCUGGGAGGCAGAGGUUGCAGUGAACCAAGAUCACACAACUGCACUCCAGCCUGAUGACAGAGCGAGACUCCAUCUUGAAAAAAAAAAAAAAAAAAGUGGGCAAAAGAUCCAAACAGACAUUUCUCAAAGGAAGACAUAAAAAUGGCCAACAGGUAUAUGAAAAAAUGCUCAACAUUACUAAUCAUUAGAGAAAUGCAAAUUAAAACAACAUGUUAUUUCACCCCAGUUAAAAUGGCUUGUAUUAAGAAAACAGAUAAUAACAGAUGCUAGUGAGGAUGUGGAGAAAAGAGAACCCUCAUACACUGUUGGUAGAAAUGUAAACUAGUACAACCACUAUGAAGAACAGUAUGGAAGUUCUUCAAAAAACUAAAAAUAGAAUUACCAUAUGAUCCAGCAAUUCCACUACUGAAUAUGUAUCCAAAAGAAAGGAAAUCCGUAUAUCAAAAAGAUAUCUGCACUCCCAUGUUUAUUGCAGCAUUGUUCACAAUAGCCAAGAUAUGGAAUUAACCUAAGUGCCCAUCAAUGGGUGAAUGGAUAAAGUGUGGUGGAUGGAAAGCCGAUUUCCAGUCUUUAUGAUAACGCCGAUGUUCCACUUGGGAAAGAUACUGUACAACAAUGAAAGUAGCCCUUUCUUUUGUCUUUCAAAGAAUGUAUUUUUAACAAACAGCCUCUGUGUGAUCCUUUUGACCACACAAUUUGUAGAGUUAACGCUGAAAUUUUCAUUAGCAACAAUGAAAGCACACACAGGCACAAUAUUAAUAUAGAUUAAUAUCAGCCUAUUUUGGUCAGAAAGGCUCAUUUAAAUGUUUAAGAGACAGAAGUCCCAAAUUGUAGUAAUUUCUUCCACUAGCAGGAGGAAGCUCAGAAUUAGUUUUUCUACAACACUAGAGGAAUACUACUCAAAAAUAAAAAGGAAUUAACCAUUGAUACAUGCAACAACACAGAUGAAUCUCAAAGUAAUUGUGCUGAAAGAAACCAGACCCAGAAAAAGAUAAAUUCUAUAUGAUCUCAUUUAUAUAAGACUCUAGGAAAUGCAAACUAAUCUACACAUACAGAAAACUGAGGGCAGGUACUGAGAAGGGUAGGAGGGGGGCGUUACAGAGAGGCAUGAGGAAACUUUUUGGGGUGAUAGAUAUGUUUACUACUUUGAUUGUAAGGAUGAGGUCGCAACUCUGUGCGUGUCAGUGGUAUAUUUUAAUAUGAACGGCUUAUUUUAUGUAAAUUCUACCCCUAUAAAGCUGUUUUUUUUAAAAAAAAAAACUUCUCUUUGAGAGACAUCACCUUUGUCUUUUAAACCAUCUAAUGUUGAAUCUAAAAGUUCAGUGUAAAGUUUAAUAAAAUCAGAGUGUGUAUGUGUCUUAAUUUCCAGGACAUAUAAUCAUAGUGAUUAAGCCAAAAGUGCUUAUAUGAUUACCUAUAAACUAUCAUAGUUAAAUGACUAAAUACCCUGCAUAAGGUAAAAUGAUUAUUUUAUUCCUAUAGAUUGAAAUUGCCCAACUUUUUAUUAGAGAAUAAUAGAUUAGAGGGCAUGUUGGCUCAUACCUGUAAGCCCAAUGCUUUGGGAGGCUGAAGCGGGAGGAUCCCUUGAGGCCAGGAGUUGAAGAUCAGCUUGGGCAACAUAGCAAGACCACAUCUCUACAAAAAAAUUUAAAAUAAAAUGUUUAUCCAAGCAUAGUGGCACUCACUCACCUGUAGUACUAGCUGCUGAGGAAGCUGAGGCCUGGAGUUCAAACUGCACAACGCUGCACUUCAACCUAUGUGACAAAGUGAGAUCCUAUCUCUAAAAUAAUUAAUUCAGUUUUUAUAAUUAGGGAACAUUUAAAUUCAGAUUAUAAGUAAAAAAUGGAAUAAACAGUCCUGUUACCUGAUAUGGUUUGGAUCUCCAUCCCUACCCAAAUCUUAUGUUGAAAUGUAAUCCCCAAUGCUGGAGGUGGGGCCUGGUGGGAGAUGAUUGGAUCAUGGUGGUGGUUUCUCAUGGUUUAACACCAUCGUCCCCUGGUGCUGUCGCCGUGAUGAUGAAUUCUCACGAGAUCUGGUUGGUUUAAAAGUGUGUGGCACCUCCCCCUUCUCUCUUGCUCCUGCUCCUACCAUGUGAGAUGCCUUGGUCCCCCUUUGCCUUCCGCCAUGAUUCAGAGUUCUCUGAGGCCUCCCCAGAAGCAGAUGCUGCCAUGCUUUCUGUACAGCCUGCAGAACCGUAAGCCAAUUAAACCUCUUUUCUUAUACAUUACCCAGUGUCAGAUAUUUCUUUAUAGCAGUGUGAGAAUGGAUUAAUACACUACGUCAUGCAAAAUGUAAAAACAGGCAACUCACUGAGAGUAAACCUAAUCAACUUGUUCAUUUAGAUAUAAACUGUAGAGACGACACUGCCAUCUAGUUGUUGAAUACUGAGUAUACUGUUGAAACAUUCUUGACAAUGUUCUAUUUCUCUUUUGUAGACUUACAAGGAACACACAGAAGCCCCUAACCAAUUACAUCUCCUUCCUAGGAGUGUGAAUGUGACUGCCAUAGUGCAGCCCAUGCUGCCCCUGGUAAUUAUAUGCCUCAACCCAAGCAGGUGAUUAUGUAUCCUGUGACUACCUCAUGCUCAAGGCUCUUCCAUAUUACACAAACA